UGCAUAGCGGGUGAUCUCCCUA
This 22-nucleotide microRNA is filed under the name Ornithorhynchus anatinus (platypus). RNAcentral describes it as "Oan-Mir-1421-P14_3p* (star (passenger))". Lineage: Eukaryota; Metazoa; Chordata; Mammalia; Monotremata; Ornithorhynchidae. The record is from RNAcentral.